ACUCCUACGGGAGGCAGCAGUGAGGAAUAUUGGUCAAUGGUCGGGAGACUGAACCAGCCAAGCCGCGUGAGGGAAGAAGGUACAGAGUAUCGUAAACCUCUUUUGCCGGGGGACAAAAGGCCGGACGUGUCCGGUUUUKAGGGUACCCGGAGAAAAAGCAUCGGCUAACUCCGUGCCAGCAGCCGCGGUAAUAC
This 194-nucleotide ribosomal RNA is filed under the name uncultured bacterium. Its description in RNAcentral is "partial 16S ribosomal RNA". It matches the Rfam family "Bacterial small subunit ribosomal RNA", at positions 335 to 526 of the family's 1533-position model. The record is from RNAcentral.